RNAcentral lists this long non-coding RNA (229 nucleotides) under Gossypium raimondii (Peruvian cotton). Its description in RNAcentral is "long non-coding RNA (GRAI_LNC007721)". Lineage: Eukaryota; Viridiplantae; Streptophyta; Magnoliopsida; Malvales; Malvaceae. The record is from RNAcentral.
GUUUUGUGUGGUGUUCCCUCUCCCUACUUGUACAUAUUGAUUUUUGCUAAGUUUUAGGGUACCUCUCGGGUUCGUUUUCUUUUGACUGCUCUUCUUCUUUUUCACCUAUUUUCUUUUUGGCCGAAUAUACUCUCCUUCCUCAUCUUUUUCUUUUUCCUCUUUCUUUUCGGUUUCUUUCCUCUUUGAUAGCCAAAUACACUUUUCUCCCCUUUUGUCCUUUUGAAUUUCU